Molecule: ribosomal RNA, 253 nt
Filed under: uncultured bacterium
Lineage: Bacteria
Description: partial 16S ribosomal RNA
Rfam family: Bacterial small subunit ribosomal RNA
Source: RNAcentral
UACGGAGGGUGCAAGCGUUAUCCGGAUUCACUGGGUUUAAAGGGUGCGUAGGUGGGCAAGUAAGUCAGUGGUGAAAUCUCCGGGCUUAACCCGGAAACUGCCAUUGAUACUAUUUGUCUUGAAUACUGUGGAGGUCAGCGGAAUAUGUCAUGUAGCGGUGAAAUGCUUAGAUAUGACAUAGAACACCAAUUGCGAAGGCAGCUGGCUACACAAAUAUUGACACUGAGGAGCGAAAGCCAGGGGAGCAAACGGG